ACUUCCUCCUAGAAUCAAGACAGAGCCCCGCCCUCCUGACUCUGGUCUGCUAACAGGGGCCUCAUUUUCUUACCUCCUCCUUGGGGAGCCAGCCUGGAGUUCGGGAUGUCACUACUGGAAGCAGUCAUCUUCUUCUCCCUCUGGGCUUCUGGCCUCGGGCAGUUAAAGUUGGAGCAAUCUGAAAUAUCAGUUUCCAGGUCAAGUGAUAAGAGUGCCCAUAUAUCUUGUAAGGUGUCUUCUGGCUCCUUUAGCUCAGACUACAUACACUGGUACCGGCAGAAACCAGAUCAAAGUAUAGAACAUUUAAUAUAUGCUUAUUCGAACACCCCUGCACUUGGGAAGAACAACAAAUUUGAGGCAAGUAAAAAUCCUCAAACUUCUACUUCCACCUUGAAAAUAAAUUUCUUAGAGAAACAAGAUGAGGCCGUGUACUUCUGUGCCUGCUGGACUGGCACCCACAAUGAUAGAAUAUUUGCUGAAGGGACAAAGCUCAUAGUAAUUCCGUCUGAGAGAAGCCUUGAUUCAUCAGAUACUGCUCCUAAGCCCACAAUUUUUCUUCCUUCAAUUGAAGAAAUAAACCUUCAUAAGGCUGGGACAUAUCUUUGUCUCCUUGAGAAGUUUUUCCCCGAUGUUAUUAAGGUAUAUUGGAAGGAAAAGAACGGCAAUGCAAUUCUGGCAUCCCAGCAGGGAAAUACCAUGAAGACUAAGGACACGUACAUGAAAUUCAGCUGGCUGACCGUGACUGCAAAGUCAAUGGAUAAAGAACACAAAUGCAUCAUCAAACAGGAGUAUAAUAAAAGAAGAAUUGAUCAAGAGAUUCUUUUUCCUUCAAUAAAUAAAGGUGUGAUAGAAGCUGUGAGAAUGCAGGACCAUGAGCCAAAGAAGGCAAAAAAUAAAAGUCUAGAGUAUGAAAAAGAGGUUGCCAGCAUUAAUUCUACAACAGGUGAUUGUCUGAAAGAUAAAAGUGAUUUACUGCAGUUGCAGCUCACCAAUACCUCCGCCUACUACACCUAUCUCCUCCUCCUCCUCAAGAGCCUGGUCUACUUUGCCAUCAUUUCCUUCUGUCUAUUUAGGAGAACAGCAGUCUGUGGCCGUGGAAAGAGUGCAUAACACAUGAUGGCACAAAAGGAUCAAUUUUUCUGCAUUUCUUCCGUGCAUGUGUCCACUGAUGAUCUAGCUAAACUUCCUUUUUGGGUUUGCAUUAUUUAAAUUCACAUGCAUUUUUCUAUCAUGUCAUUAUUACAUAGUGGUUUUCAAACCACUGGGCAAAGACAAUUUCUCUCUGUAACAAUAGCCAAUUUGGCCAUAUCUCAGGUAUAGGGCCCAAGGGUGCCCUUUAACACCACUCUUCCCAUUAUCUUAAUCAAUCUUUGCUCCUCUAGCAAACCCACAUAAUCAUACCUUCGAAAUAUAGACAGCAUGCAGCUCCUAGUCCCAUUCCUUAGUGCUCUUUAUUUAGAGAACUGCCUCAAAACUUUUCAUUUCACAUACCCUGAAACUGAUAUCUCGGUUACUUGUAUUCUGCAUUUUGUUUUUUAUAAUAGUCACAAUAAAUUUUUUUAAAAA
This is a non-coding RNA of Artibeus jamaicensis (Jamaican fruit-eating bat), 1566 nucleotides long. The record is from the annotation of a RefSeq genome assembly. Lineage: Eukaryota; Metazoa; Chordata; Mammalia; Chiroptera; Phyllostomidae.